AUUGAACGCUGGCGGCAUGCCUUACACAUGCAAGUCGAACGGCAGCACGGGUGCUUGCCCCUGGUGGCGAGUGGCGAACGGGUGAGUAAUACAUCGGAACAUGUCCUGUAGUGGGGGAUAGCCCGGCGAAAGCCGGAGUAAUACCGCAUACGAUCUACGGAUGAAAGCGGGGGACCUUCGGGCCUCGCGCUAUAGGGUUGGCCGAUGGCUGAUUGGCUAGUUGGUGGGGUAAAGGCCUACCAAGGCGACGAUCAGUAGCUGGUCUGAGAGGACGACCAGCCACACUGAGACUGAGACACGGCCCAGACUCCUACGGGAGGCAGCAGUGGGGAAUUUUGGACAAUGGGCGAAAGCCUGAUCCAGCAAUGCCGCGUGUGUGAAGAAGGCCUUCGGGUUGUAAAGCACUUUUGUCCGGAAAGAAAUCCUUGGCCCUAAUACGGUCGGGGGAUGACGGUACCGGAAGAAUAAGCACCGGCGAACUACGU
This 485-nucleotide ribosomal RNA is filed under the name uncultured bacterium. RNAcentral describes it as "partial 16S ribosomal RNA". It matches the Rfam family "Bacterial small subunit ribosomal RNA", at positions 30 to 506 of the family's 1533-position model. The record is from RNAcentral.